RNAcentral lists this ribosomal RNA (470 nucleotides) under uncultured bacterium. Its description in RNAcentral is "bacterial SSU rRNA". It matches the Rfam family "Bacterial small subunit ribosomal RNA", at positions 39 to 507 of the family's 1533-position model. The record is from RNAcentral.
GACGAAUACAGAUUCGGCGUGCUUAACACAUGCAAGUCGAACGAUGAAGCUGGAGCUUGCUCUGGCGGAUUAGUGGCGAACGGGUGAGUAACACGUGAGCAACCUGCCCCUGACUCUGGGAUAACAGCCGGAAACGGCUGCUAAUACCGGAUAUGCACCAUGAACGCAUGUUCUGUGGUGGGAAAGAUUUUUCGGUUGGGGAUGGGCUCGCGGCCUAUCAGCUUGUUGGUGAGGUAAUGGCUCACCAAGGCGCCGACGGGUAGCCGGCCUGAGAGGGUGACCGGCCACACUGGGACUGAGACACGGCCCAGACUCCUACGGGAGGCAGCAGUGGGGAAUAUUGCACAAUGGGCGAAAGCUGAUGCAGCAACGCCGCGUGAGGGAUGACGGCCUUCGGGUUGUAAACCUCUUUUAGCAGGGAAGAAGCGAGAGCGACGGUACCUGCAGAAAAAGCGCCGGCUAACUACGAG